UACGUAGGGUGCAAGCGUUAAUCGGGAUGACUGGGCGUAAAGGGUGCGCAGGCGGCCUGUUAAGACAGAGGUGAAAUCCCCGGGCUUAACCUGGGAAUGGCCUAUGUGACUGGCAGGCUAGAGGAUGGCAGAGGGAGGCGGAAUUCCACGUGUAGCAGUGAAAUGCAUUGAGAUCGGAAAGAACACCAACGGCGAAAGCACUCUGCUGGGCCGACACUGACACUGAGAGACGAAAGCUAGGGGAGCAAAUGGG
RNAcentral lists this ribosomal RNA (253 nucleotides) under uncultured bacterium. Its description in RNAcentral is "partial 16S ribosomal RNA". It matches the Rfam family "Bacterial small subunit ribosomal RNA", at positions 524 to 776 of the family's 1533-position model. The record is from RNAcentral.